UCACCCAAAUAGAAAUCCCUAACCCCCAAAUUUCCUCAGCUCCUCGCUCAUCAGUCACCACACGGAUUGAAGUCCCUCACCAGUCACGAACUCAAAAACACCUUCAAAUCAACUGCUUUCCAUGGAUUCAAGCUCGAUGUCAUCGAGUGGAAGCUUGAGGAAAAGGGGCCCAGCCCGAUGCUUCUGCUCGGAGAGACUCGUUGUGGUCGUUUCGUGGACAUCUGACAACCCUGGAAGAAGGUUCUACGGUUGUCCAAAUUACUGGGUUGGACGCAAGUGUAAAUUUUUUCAGUGGCUUGAUGAUGAAAUCUGCGAGCGUGGGAAGGUGCUGAUUCCGGAGCAGAGGCAACGGAUUUUGACCCUUGAAGCUCAAUUUGUAGGCUACAGGAAGAGAGAGAAGAGGCUGCUCAUUUGCCUGGGGCUGUCUCUGGUGAUAAGUGGGAUGCUACUUUGUUUGAUGCUUCUUCUGGUUGGCUAAAUAGGUGGGGGGAAUGGGUCAUUAGGUGGGUAGGUGUUAGUGGAAAAAGGCUUGAAUUUUGUUGUAUGUAUUAGUGGCAAAAGGCCUGAAUUUUGGUGUAUGUAUUAGUGGAAAAAGGCCAUAAUUUGUGUUGGAAUGUGUUGUUUGUAGUAGUGGGAAAAGGCCUGAUUUUUUGGUGUAAUUCUCUUUGCAAUCCAAGACUUUAGCAAUGGAAUAUGGUCUUUUUAAUUAAUCUA
Long non-coding RNA from Quercus robur (English oak), 714 nucleotides. RefSeq lists it as uncharacterized. The transcript is spliced from 2 exons. The record is from RefSeq and is a predicted model, not a curated record. Lineage: Eukaryota; Viridiplantae; Streptophyta; Magnoliopsida; Fagales; Fagaceae.